GAUACUAUUAUGAUGCAUUCAUAUGUCCUUAGUUAUUUUUGUCUAAGCUUAAACAAAGUUGUCUUUUUUUUGUUUUCCUGGGAAUAUUUGUUUGUUGUUUUUCGAAAUGCAUCAAGUUUAUCAUAAUUUUUCUAAUUCAUUGAAGUAGGUCUGUGUAGCUUAUCUUAUUCCUAUACUAAUUUUCUGAAGACGUGUUUUUGUUACGUCUUAUUUUAUUUGAUGUUUUAGUUUGAUCACAAUCUUUCAAAAUUGUACUGGCACUAAAGCUUCAGUUUCAAGAACCC
This 284-nucleotide long non-coding RNA is filed under the name Citrus sinensis (sweet orange). Its description in RNAcentral is "long non-coding RNA (CSIN_LNC005831)". The record is from RNAcentral. Lineage: Eukaryota; Viridiplantae; Streptophyta; Magnoliopsida; Sapindales; Rutaceae.